UUAGGGUUCGAUUCCGGAGAGGGAGCCUGAGAAACGGCUACCACAUCUAAGGAAGGCAGCAGGCGCGCAAAUUACCCAAUCCUAAUACAGGGAGGUAGUGACAAGAAAUAACAAUACAGGACUUUUUGGUUUUGUAAUUGGAAUGAGUUAAGUAUAAACCCCUUUACAAGUAUCAAUUGGAGGGCAAGUCUGGUGCCAGCAGCCGCGGUAAUUCCAGCUCCAAUAGCGUAUAUUAAAGUUGUUGCAGUUAAAAAGCUCGUAGUUGGAUUUCUGUUAAUAAUUUAUAUAAAAUAUUUUGAUGAAUAUUUAUAUAAUAUUAACAUAAUUCAUAUUACUAUAUAUUUUAGUAUAUGAAAUUUUACUUUGAGAAAAUUAGAGUGCUUAAAGCAGGCAUAUGCCUUGAAUACUCCAGCAUGGAAUAAUAUUAAAGAUUUUUAUCUUUCUUAUUGGUUCUAAGAUAAGAAUAAUGAUUAAUAGGGACAGUUGGGGGCAUUUGUAUUUAACAGUCAGAGGU
Molecule: ribosomal RNA, 514 nt
Filed under: Cryptosporidium parvum
Lineage: Eukaryota; Apicomplexa; Conoidasida; Eucoccidiorida; Cryptosporidiidae
Description: SSU rRNA
Rfam family: Eukaryotic small subunit ribosomal RNA
Source: RNAcentral